Bombina bombina (fire-bellied toad) is the source of this 1262-nucleotide long non-coding RNA. RefSeq lists it as uncharacterized. The record is from RefSeq and is a predicted model, not a curated record. Lineage: Eukaryota; Metazoa; Chordata; Amphibia; Anura; Bombinatoridae. The transcript is spliced from 2 exons.
UCUAUGAUUAAUAUAGAGGGAGGACAUAUGAGUAAUUCCUGUGUGUAACCAAUUAUAUACUAAGGCUAUUGAACUGCUAAAUUGUUUUACUGGCACAAAAACAGGUUCAUUUCUAUCUCCUUGAAUCAACACUGAGAUCGAUGUAUGAAUAAUUCCUGUGUGCCCCCUUGUUUCUUCCUUUGCUCCCAUCAUAGCCCUAAUAUACACUAAAAACCAAGUGCUUAGGAGCUUCUUCGGAUAAGGACAAGUUUCACAUUUCAGAACGGACAUAAAACCAAACGGAUCAACACUCCAUAGGAUUCAGAGCUGCUGAUAAAACAAACCGUUUUUUUCAAAUUUGGACAGAUUCUUUGGACAUUGGACACUUGCAAGUAUUGAUACUAACCAUCACAUAAACAAGUAUACUUUGUUACAAUUAAGAAUUGGAUACAAAUUUCAAACUUGUUGUGUUUAAGCAUAUCACAGAGAUUGGAGGAAUACAAUAGUCAGGUGACGUGACGUCACACCUCCCGAUCCAUCACUCACAGUUACUUCUAACGGCUGAACAGAUCAGACGCCUCCACUGAAUACUGUGACCAAAUAUUCCAUUGCUUAAAAAUAAUACUGGUAACAUUUAGCCGAGCCAAUUUCACUGUGCUAAGAGUCAUUUACCUUUAUCAAGUUUAUUCAUAUUCGUAUAUAUUUUUAAGAAACACUCAGGGAACCUUUUAGAAAUUUUAUAUCGGCUGUAUUUUUCUGUUUUUAAUAUGAUUAAUAUGUUUGAUUGUUACUGAUGCCGGCAUCUUAUGUAAUUGAGUAUAUGCUAACAUAUUCUGUAUGCAUUAACUAGUUAUCUACUUAAAUCACUAUAAAAAUUUUCUUUUAUUAUCAUUAGUUCCUCUUGUUAUUUCAUUUUUUUUUAAUAAUCUGGUUGGCUCUACUUAGCUGGAGCGCUUAUCCCACACCACUCUCACCUCUUUAUUAUAAAUCUUCCUACCCAUGCUACCAAGAAUGUUGAUGAACCCAUGGAUGUUGCUGUGAUUAGAGGCCCUCUAAAGCCUGAAGAGAAAGCCAGACGCAAACUGCUUAAUUUGUGCCUCUAUUGUGCCGAAAAGGAUCAUGCCGUAAGGGAUUGCCCAUCUCUCCUUCGUCAAAAGAAGGUGGGAUCAGCAGAAGAUAGACGUACAGGCCGUAAUUGACUCUGGAGCAUCUGGGAAUUUCAUAGAUUUAGUUUUUGUUGAUAAGCACAAAAUACCACUAAUAAAGAAGAGUGUUGCACUAGC